Molecule: small nucleolar RNA, 101 nt
Organism: Crocodylus porosus (Australian saltwater crocodile)
Lineage: Eukaryota; Metazoa; Chordata; Crocodylia; Crocodylidae
Gene: SNORD16
Rfam family: Small nucleolar RNA SNORD16
About the family: U16 is a member of the C/D class of snoRNA which contain the C (UGAUGA) and D (CUGA) box motifs. U81 acts as a guanine methylation guide and is found in an intron of ribosomal proteins L1 gene in animals.
Source: Ensembl
UGCUGUGAUGAUGUAAUUUGCGACGUAUCCAGCGCUCGGCGACAGUAGCCUGCUGUCAGCAUGCCGGCACUGCUGAGCUGAAGACUGUUUGACUCUGAGCA